CAUAGAAAGGCUAUCGCCUCCUCGUUCAUGCUUAUGUCUUAGGAGAUUUGGAAAGAGCAUAAUAUAAGGGUUUUUCGUAACAGCACCGCUACGACGAUGAUGCUCGUCUCGAAUAUAAAAAAGAAGGCCCAUCUUUGGGCUAUUGCUGGUGCCACCCACUUGAGUAUUGUCAUGCCGCGAGAGUAUAUAUUUGUCUCCUGCUUUGCGCUCAUUUGUCUUGAAUCUUCUCCCUCAAUCAAUGAAAAUGGCAAAUCUUUUGCCUUGCUUAAAAAAAAUGGUGAGGGGCACAUUCACUACAAACUGACCCACACAUUUUCCAGCUGA
Molecule: ribosomal RNA, 324 nt
Filed under: Triticum aestivum (bread wheat)
Lineage: Eukaryota; Viridiplantae; Streptophyta; Magnoliopsida; Poales; Poaceae
Description: partial small subunit ribosomal RNA
Source: RNAcentral